UACGUAGGGGACAAGCGUUGUCCGGAAUUAUUGGGCGUAAAGCGCGUGUAGGCGGCCAAGUAAGUCUUACGUGAAAUCCUGAGGCUCAACCUCAGCCUGCGCGGGAUACUGCUUGGCUAGAGUCCGGAAGAGGAGAGUGGAAUUCCUGGUGUAGCGGUGGAAUGCGCAGAUAUCAGGAGGAACACCGGUGGGCGAAGGCGGG
This 202-nucleotide ribosomal RNA is filed under the name uncultured bacterium. RNAcentral's name for it is "partial 16S ribosomal RNA". It matches the Rfam family "Bacterial small subunit ribosomal RNA", at positions 524 to 725 of the family's 1533-position model. The record is from RNAcentral.